CCGGGCAACACAAAUAUACUGCCCCCAAAAAUGCACUGUUCCUUCACUUAUUCUCGUACUCUAAGUUGACAGCCCAUCCCAUGUUCAAGGAAUUAGUUUUCAGAUUUAAGAACAGUUUUACUUUUUUUUUCGGAAGNNNNNNNNNNUCACUUUUUUUUUCUGAAAUGAGAUCCUCGUUUGUACCAUUACUGUGUGACAUGUAGGGUUUACACUAAAUAAAGUUGCACCGCUUUGGCCUAUUCAUGCAAAUAGUAAUGCCCAUAGAUGACAGGGAGAGGAGGAGGAGGAGGAACAAUGUGUCUAAAUCCAUUACCCCCAUCCGAGCCACAACCAUGGUGGUCUUGUCUAACAAUGUAUUGAACUUGUGCUCCACUUUCAAACGUUGAAACUUUCAAACGUUGAAAAUGCUCUACAGUUUGGCUGCAGAUAGUUUUUAUACUGUUCUGAAGAAACUUGCCAACUGCCCCACCUUCUUCCCAAACCCUCAGACUAACAAAUUAUCUACGUACCUAAGAGUUUAAUAUAUAAGGUAGCCAGGUUUACAAGGUUUGUCACCAAAACCUCUAGCAGCACUUAUAUGGUGGGACACUGUGUCUAAAUAGCGUUUCCUUGACGUUUAUUGUAAUUUAACAACAUUACAGAGAAUUAGUUGCCACCCAGUGAGCAAUGACAACCAUUUUUCAAUUAGUAGGUAGAAGUAUUACGCAUAAUCCUCAACAAAAGUUCUCACUGCAACAUCUAGUUACCACGUCUAACAUAAAUACUGUUAGUUUUAUGCAGAAUUCAGCGUAGUACGAUUUUCACAGAUCUGGGCUACGUUAAGUAAGGGCAGGCUUCUGCGAGCU
This 845-nucleotide long non-coding RNA is filed under the name Locusta migratoria (migratory locust). RNAcentral's name for it is "partial Lnc1960". The record is from RNAcentral. Lineage: Eukaryota; Metazoa; Arthropoda; Insecta; Orthoptera; Acrididae.